AGGGGAAUAUUGGACAAUGGGCGCAAGCCUGAUCCAGCAAUGCUGCGUGAGUGAUGAAGGCCCUAGGGUUGUAAAGCUCUUUCACCGGUGGAGAAAAUGACGGUAACCGGAGAAGAAGCCCCGGCUAACUCCGUGCCAGCAGCUGCGGUAAUACGAACGGGGCUAGUGUUGUUCGGCUGUACUGGGCGUAACGCGCACGUAGGCGGACUUUUCAGUGAGGGGUGAAAUCCCGGGGCUCAACCCCGGAACUGCCUUUGAUACUGGAGGGAUUGAGUAUGGUAGAGGUCAGUGGAAUUCCGAGUGUAGUGGGCAAAUUCGUAGAUAUUCGGAAGAACAGCAGUGGCGAAGGCAGCUCGCUGGACCAGUACUGAAGCUGAGGUGCGAAAGCGUGGGGAGUAAACAGG
RNAcentral lists this ribosomal RNA (404 nucleotides) under Actinomycetes bacterium. Its description in RNAcentral is "Actinobacteria bacterium partial 16S ribosomal RNA". It matches the Rfam family "Bacterial small subunit ribosomal RNA", at positions 355 to 776 of the family's 1533-position model. The record is from RNAcentral. Lineage: Bacteria; Bacillati; Actinomycetota; Actinomycetes.